Cyanistes caeruleus (blue tit) is the source of this 397-nucleotide long non-coding RNA. RefSeq lists it as uncharacterized. NCBI's taxonomy places the organism in Eukaryota, Metazoa, Chordata, Aves, Passeriformes, Paridae. The record is from RefSeq and is a predicted model, not a curated record.
UUGGGAGAUCCUGUACCAAUGUUGCUCACACUCAAAGAGUCUCUUGAGCAUCAAGUAGGCUCAUGCCUGGAUUUCUAAACCAACAGUUUUAACAUGGACCAAUUUUCAAGUUUUCCAGCCAUUUUUGAGAAGACCAACCAAGGGAAGGCAUAGGCAGUACCUUUGAGGAAAAGUUUAGAAAGAUUGUGAGUUUCUACCAGGCUUUCAAAGUGCUUCUAAGGGAUCUUUACUCUAAAGCUUCGUGUGUCAGUAAGAGAGCACAUCUGCCAGGCUGAGCAGACCAAGAGUUCAUCUUUAAUCUUCAGUUGCAGUCUACAACAGGUGAAUUGGAGAAGCUCUCACUGGAAAUCUUGAAGAAAUAAAUCAUGGAUUUGUCCAUGGCAAACAGUUCUUCCUA